CAGCUUGAUCCAAUACCGGUGAAGGCUUUUCAUCGUCCUCUGUACAUCCCUAAGAAUCACCGGUGAAGGCAGCCUGUUAACAUCCAGAAUGGGCCUGAACUUUACAGUCAAAAUAUCUCUAUCGUUGAGAUUCAAGAGCAUCCACAACACGUAAUGGAUGACUGGAUUGAUCUCUUGCAGAUGUAUAUACAAGAUGGACAUGAUUCUUAUAUCCGGUUAAUUAAUGGCAUGUUCGGCCGAAAGAUGGUGUACACCUACACGCGGAAGAGACACGGCGAUACUAAUCCUUUCCUUGGUUGAUUUUCAUGGUACAAAUAUGCAGCUGCACCAGCAAAAAAGAUCACCAGCCGGCCAAAGAAAAACAGCAGACCUAUUUUUUCCGCCGUCUCUGCUUUAUUGGUUGGUGCCUCGGGCCGCUGAUAUCGCAAGCCGGCCACACAAAGGCAGCAGACAAUGGUUGAUGGAUUACAGAUACUCACCAGCAUGAUGCGUUAGAAGGCGCAGCAGGGCAGGGCAGGGCCUCCACAGAAGAGGUACGCUGAUUUCACAUGCCGAAUUUGUGUCGAUCUCCUACCCAAGCUUAUUUUCUAAAAAGAAGUUCCACUGUCUCUUAGUUUGCAAAAGAGCUCAACAUCAUACUUUCGGGAUCAAAUAACGUCAAGAUUACAUAAAUUGUUUGUCAUACUGAUAAGGUUCAAAUCGGAGAAGCUCUAGGAGCUGGAGCAUCGCUCGCCGAGAUGUAUGUCGGCAUGUUUUUUUUCGGGCAUUGUCUUUUGCUGAAAUGUAUGUCGGCAAUGUUGAGGUAGGUUGUGCAAGGUUGGAGCAUCCGAUCUUCUUUUUCUCAAUUUGUUUCGUAAUGUAUGAGCCUAACCCAAAUAUUGCAUCCAGUCUUGCAGCUAAGAGUUGCCUUGAUUCUAUAA
This is a non-coding RNA of Lolium perenne, 920 nucleotides long. Lineage: Eukaryota; Viridiplantae; Streptophyta; Magnoliopsida; Poales; Poaceae. The record is from RefSeq and is a predicted model, not a curated record.